This 470-nucleotide small RNA is filed under the name Malus domestica (apple). RNAcentral describes it as "sRNA MD16G0199800". The record is from RNAcentral. Lineage: Eukaryota; Viridiplantae; Streptophyta; Magnoliopsida; Rosales; Rosaceae.
AUAUAGACAACUCGGCUUGGCCUUUGGUAGCAGCAGCUUUGCCCGAAUGCGGUUUGAGGGUGAUGACUCAUCAGCUAUUUUACAUGCAAAUCUGGCUUUGAGCAGAGUUUGUGCUUGCAUUUGUUUGUUUGAUUGAGUGUCCUUAAUCCUUGAUUUUCUUUCUUCUUAUAUAGACAACUCGGCUUGGCCUUUGGUAGCAGCAGCUUUGCCCGAAUACGGUUUGAGGGUGAUGACUCAUCAGCUAUUUUACAUGUAAUGCCACCAUAAAGUACUUUAUGGGCUGUGUAGCUGACCAGCCUACACCACUUGGCCUUUGGGUAGGUAAGCAAGUGGUCUUCAUGAGCUGCAUCAAGCCAGAAAAGGCUUUCUCCUGCCUUCUGGGCUUCGACUGGGCUUCGGCUAUCUUCCCUUUCGGGCCUCCUUUUGGGCCAACUCCUUUCUUGAGCCCAAAGUUAACUUUUAAUCCAAAC